AGAACGAACGCUGGCGGCGUGGAUAAGACAUGCAAGUCGAACGCGAUUUAUCAGGUUAGCAAUAACUUGGUAAAUUGAGUGGCGAAAGGGUGCGUAACACGUGGGAAUUUACCGAGAAGUGGGGAAUAGCUCGACGAAAGUCGAAUUAAUACCGCAUGUGAUCGAAAGAUCAAAGCCGGGGACCGCAAGGCCUGGCGCUUCUUGAGAAGCCCGCGGCCCAUCAGCUAGUUGGCGGGGUAAAAGCCCACCAAGGCUAUGACGGGUAGCUGGUCUGAGAGGACGACCAGCCACACUGGAACUGAGACACGGUCCAGACACCUACGGGUGGCAGCAGUCGAGAAUUUUUCACAAUGGAC
This 356-nucleotide ribosomal RNA is filed under the name uncultured bacterium. RNAcentral describes it as "SSU rRNA". It matches the Rfam family "Bacterial small subunit ribosomal RNA", at positions 26 to 376 of the family's 1533-position model. The record is from RNAcentral.